Molecule: ribosomal RNA, 393 nt
Filed under: uncultured bacterium
Lineage: Bacteria
Description: bacterial SSU rRNA
Rfam family: Bacterial small subunit ribosomal RNA
Source: RNAcentral
UCGGGAAUUUUGGGCAAUGGGCGAAAGCCUGACCCAGCAACGCCGCGUGAGGGAUGAAGUGUUUCGGUAUGUAAACCUCGAAAGAAUGGGAAGAAUAAAUGACGGUACCAUUUAUAAGCUCCGGCUAACUACGUGCCAGCAGCCGCGGUAAUACGUAGGGAGCAAGCGUUGUUCGGAUUUACUGGGCGUAAAGGGCGCGUAGGCGGCGCGGUAAGUCACUUGUGAAAUCUCUGAGCUUAACUCAGAACGGCCAAGUGAUACUGCUGUGCUAGAGUGCGGAAGAGGCAACCGCAAUUCUUGGUGUAGCGGUGAAAUGCGUAGAUAUCAAGAGGAACACCUGAGGCGAAGGCGGGUUGCUGGGCCGACACUGACGCUGAUGCGCGAAAGCCAGGG